GAGUCCUUCCUUGGAGAGUGUCCUAGGCCUGGCGGGUUCGUUUAUCUUUUUUCUUUCUCCAGAAUGGAGUGGAAGACACUCUGUCUGAGACCUCAGUUUCAUCUCUGCCUGGAAUAGUCAAGAAGCUCCAUUGAUGCUUGUAAGGGAUUUUCUGCUAGAAUUGAGUCUUCUGUCCCAAAGAACUGUCAGAAGUGACAGAAAUGCACAAGUGGGAGGAGAAAUGUGAUCAGUCACUCAUAAGAGAAAAUGAAAUGAAUGGAAAUCAUUUUAAAUGGGAUCUUCAGUUUGGGAAUACUAAGAGGAGCAUAAUUAUUAUUGCUGACAUCUUGCAAAGCACAGUACACUUCACUGUCACGUCAUGUCAAAACUGGCUAAUUGUGCAAGAUUCCAGAAAAAAAUCCAAAGACCGUACAGUUAGACUCCAAAUACAGAAAAAAUAUCUAACAAAGAAUCUAACAUACAGUAAUCCUAGCCUCCCUGUAUCAUCGUUAGAAAAGCCCUGAGAGAGAAGAGCCAUUCAUUUAGUAUGUUUUAUUGUUUUCCAGUUUAGCUUUAAGUAUAAGCAGCAGAUUUCUUACCAUUUAUUAUGGUAGUUGUAUU
This 600-nucleotide long non-coding RNA is filed under the name Phasianus colchicus (ring-necked pheasant). RNAcentral's name for it is "lncRNA (ENSPCLG00000003433.1)". Lineage: Eukaryota; Metazoa; Chordata; Aves; Galliformes; Phasianidae. The record is from RNAcentral.